AUGGGCGAAAGCCUGAUCCAGACAAUGCCGCGUGAGUGAAGAAGGCCUUCGGGUUGUAAAGCUCUUUUGUCAGGGAAGAAACGGUGAGAGCUAAUAUCUCUUGCUAAUGACGGUACCUGAAGAAUAAGCACCGGCUAACUACGUGCCAGCAAGCCCGCGGGUAAUACGUAGGUGCAAGCGUUAAUCGUGAAUUACUGGGCGUAAAGCGUGCGCAGGCGGUUUUGUAAGUCUGAUGUGAAAUCCCCGGGCUCAACCUGGGAAUUGCAUAGGAGACUGCAAAGCUAGAAUCUGGCAGAGGGGGGUAGAAUUCCACGUGUAGCAAGUGAAAUGCGUAGAUAUGUGGAGGAACACCGAUGGCGAAGGCAGCCCCCUGGGUCAAGAUUGACGCUCAU
This 392-nucleotide ribosomal RNA is filed under the name Burkholderiaceae bacterium oral taxon D14. RNAcentral's name for it is "bacterial SSU rRNA". It matches the Rfam family "Bacterial small subunit ribosomal RNA", at positions 371 to 750 of the family's 1533-position model. The record is from RNAcentral. Lineage: Bacteria; Pseudomonadati; Pseudomonadota; Betaproteobacteria; Burkholderiales; Burkholderiaceae.